CUGGCUCAGAAUGAACGCUGGCGGCGUGCUUAACACAUGCAAGUCGAACGAGAAAGUUCCCUUCGGGGGAUAAGUAAAGUGGCGCACGGGUGAGUAACGCGUGGAUAAUCUGCCCUUGAAUUCGGAAUAACAUCGCGAAAGCGGUGCUAAUACCGGAUGAUGUUGUAUUUUCUGCGGGGAAUGCAACCAAAGAAU
Molecule: ribosomal RNA, 195 nt
Filed under: Desulfobotulus alkaliphilus
Lineage: Bacteria; Pseudomonadati; Thermodesulfobacteriota; Desulfobacteria; Desulfobacterales; Desulfobacteraceae
Description: partial 16S ribosomal RNA
Rfam family: Bacterial small subunit ribosomal RNA
Source: RNAcentral